AUUGAACGCUGGCGGCAUGCCUUACACAUGCAAGUCGAACGGCAGCACGGGAGCAAUCCUGGUGGCGAGUGGCGAACGGGUGAGUAAAGUAUCGGAACGUGCCCAGUCGUGGGGGAUAACGUAGCGAAAGUUACGCUAAUACCGCAUACGAUCUAUGGAUGAAAGCGGGGGAUCGCAAGACCUCGCGCGAUUGGAGCGGCCGAUAUCAGAUUAGGUAGUUGGUGGGGUAAAGGCUCACCAAGCCGACGAUCUGUAGCUGGUCUGAGGGGACGACCAGACACACUGGGACUGAGACACGGCCCAGACUCCUACGGGAGGCAGCAGUGGGGAAUUUUGGACAAUGGGCGAAAGCCUGAUCCAGCCAUGCCGCGUGCAGGAUGAAGGCCUUCGGGUUGUAAACUGCUUUUGUACGGAACGAAAAGGUUUGGCCUAAUAAGCUGAGCUCAUGACGGUACCGUAAGAAUAAGCACCGGCUAACUCCGUGCCAGCCGCCGCGGUAA
RNAcentral lists this ribosomal RNA (500 nucleotides) under uncultured bacterium. RNAcentral's name for it is "partial 16S ribosomal RNA". It matches the Rfam family "Bacterial small subunit ribosomal RNA", at positions 30 to 523 of the family's 1533-position model. The record is from RNAcentral.